Long non-coding RNA from Homo sapiens (human), 1227 nucleotides. Ensembl annotates it as long intergenic non-protein coding RNA 1608. Lineage: Eukaryota; Metazoa; Chordata; Mammalia; Primates; Hominidae. The record is from Ensembl.
CCCUGCCACACUAUGGAAGCUUUGUUCUUUUGCUCUUUGCAAUAAAUCUUGCUACUGCUUACUCUUUGGGUCCACACUGCCUUCAUGAGCUGUAACACUCACCGGGAAGGUCUGCAACUUCACUCCUGAGCCAGCGAGACCACGAGCCCACUGGAAGGAACAAACUCCCGCACGCCGCCUUUAAGAACUGUAACACUCACAGAGAGGGCCCGCGGCUUCAUUCCCGAAGUCAGUGAGACCAAGAACCAACCAAUUCCGGGCACGUUUCUUUUUCUGCAUCCGCUGCUCUGUUAAGUGAUCACCACAUUCAUUGUUCUCGUUUCUAUUAUUUCUGAAAAAAAUCUUCAGGAUUCUGCUUGUGGGAGUGGAUGACAUUUUUACAGUGUUUACAGGCUGAAAAUUUUUCGAGCUUUUAUGCUCUGCUUCCGUUAUAAGGAGGAGGCCUCACAAUCCUGGUGGAAGGCAAGGAGGAGCAAGUCACAUCUUAUGUGGAUGGCAGCAGGCAAAGAAAGCUUAUGCAGACACAAAAUGAACAAGAUGUCUGUGGCAACCCUCAGACCAUUGACGCCUUCUCUCCUAUGUAUCAAAUCACACAUUUGGACGUUGACUGAACCCUCACAUGUCAGAUGCUCAAUAUUGAGGUAUAGUAAAAGGGAGCAUGAACUUGAGAAAAUACGCUUUCAACACAAAGCUGUAAUAAUAUAAGGUCAAAUAAGAUUCUGCAUUGGAGAUAGAAAACUCUGAAGGAAGCUUUAUCUAUUCCAGAAUGUCAUAUAGCUGGUAUAAGAACCUGAAGAUUGGAUCUUCUGAGAACAUCAGAGAAAGACUGUCCUUGCCAUCCAUACUACAGCAAAACUUUGGGACCUUGAACUUUGGGUUCACAAUCUCACAACCAAGAAGGAUCCCUCUACAAUUUUGGAACAGUACACCCAUUGGAAACCUUAAGGUAAAGCUAACCAGGAAAGUUUCUCCCCAGAAGAAGAUGGCAUCCUUGAUGUGAACAGCUUUUCCCAAGAACAUGAAUUCUCUACUGUUAUGAGACUCUUAUCUUAGAAUAUUUUCCUUGUUUAUGACUCUAUGAACAAUAGAAUGAAAUGAAAAGGGGGUUUGUUUUGUGCACUUAUGGGGUAUAAUUUUAUGUGUGAAUGAUUUUGCACCCAGCCUUAUACAUGGAUAAACUUAUACUUUAAUAGAUAAAAAAUAAAGGUCCAGUGUAAGUGAGAAACU